AUGCAAAGAUGGAGCAAGGGCCGACUGGAGUCACACUGACAUCCACCCCCAUAACAUGGGGACAGAUCAAGAAAACAAAGCAGGAAGCUGAGAAAAUGCUGGAGCAUCCAUGUGCUUGGCCAUGUUAGCAGUAGUGUCCUGUGAGAUGUUGAAGGAUGGGCUGGAUUGACUUGGAACCUUGUUUCAGCAGAGCCCACGUGUUCAUGAAGAAAACAUUUGCUCACAGCUUAUUUCUACCACUGCCUCUCUUUCAGUGUUUUAAAAACCUAUAGCUAUGUGUUCACAAUUGUUUUUAUUUUGAAUGUAUUACUGUCAUUUUUCUGGGAAAAUAUUUACAUGUUUAGGAUUCGUGCCAUCAGAAUUUUGGACAUUGAAAGAGACAUUUCUUUUGCUUGGGGAUAUAAAAGAUGGUCCUGGAAUAUUUUUCCUUUUUUUGAAAUGGAGUGUUACUCUGUCACCCAUGCUUAAGUACAGUGGCACGAUCUUGGCUCACAGCAACCUCUGCCUCUGAGGCCCAAGUGAUCCCCCCCAGUCAGCCUGCCAAAUAGCUGGGACCACAGAUGCAC
Molecule: long non-coding RNA, 566 nt
Filed under: Homo sapiens (human)
Lineage: Eukaryota; Metazoa; Chordata; Mammalia; Primates; Hominidae
Description: non-protein coding lnc-ZNF816-2:12
Source: RNAcentral